Molecule: ribosomal RNA, 164 nt
Filed under: uncultured bacterium
Lineage: Bacteria
Description: partial 16S ribosomal RNA
Rfam family: Bacterial small subunit ribosomal RNA
Source: RNAcentral
UAGGGAAUCUUCCACAAUGGGCGCAAGCCUGGUGGAGCAACACCGUGUGAGUGAAGAAGGGUUUCGGCUCGUAAAGCUCUGUUGUUAAAGAAGGACGUGGGUAAGAGUAACUGUUUACCCAGUGACGGUAUUUAACCAGAAAGCCACGGCUAACUACGUGCCAG